Molecule: ribosomal RNA, 305 nt
Filed under: uncultured bacterium
Lineage: Bacteria
Description: bacterial SSU rRNA
Rfam family: Bacterial small subunit ribosomal RNA
Source: RNAcentral
CCUACGGGACGCAGCAGUAAGGGAUAUUGGUCAAUGGGGGAAACCCUGAACCAGCAACGCCGCGUGAGGGAAGACGGUUUUCGGAUUGUAAACCUCUGUCCUCUGUGAAGAUGAUGACGGUAGCAGAGGAGGAGGCUCCGGCUAACUACGUGCCAGCAGCCGCGGUAAUACGGAGGAUCCGAGCGUUAUCCGGAUUUAUUGGGUUUAAAGGGUGCGUAGGCGGUUUGAUAAGUUAGAGGUGAAAUGUCGGGGCUCAACCCCGAAACUGCCUCUAAUACUGUUGGACUAGAGAAUAGUUGCGGUAG